Molecule: ribosomal RNA, 274 nt
Filed under: uncultured bacterium
Lineage: Bacteria
Description: partial 16S ribosomal RNA
Rfam family: Archaeal small subunit ribosomal RNA
Source: RNAcentral
AAACCAGCACCUCAAGUGGUCAUGAGGAUUAUUGGGCCUAAAGCAUCCGUAGCCUGUUCUAUAAGUUUCCGGUUAAAUCCACUAGCUCAACUAGUGGGCUGCCGAAAAUACUGUAGAACUAGGGAGUGGGAGAGGUAGACGGUAUUCGGUAGGAAGGGGUAAAAUCCUUUGAUCUAUUGAGGACCACCUGUGGCGAAGGCGGUCUACCAGAACACGUUCGACGGUGAGGGAUGAAAGCUGGGGGAGCAAACCGGAUUAGAAACCCGAGUAGUCC